Molecule: ribosomal RNA, 496 nt
Filed under: uncultured bacterium
Lineage: Bacteria
Description: partial 16S ribosomal RNA
Rfam family: Bacterial small subunit ribosomal RNA
Source: RNAcentral
AUGAACGCUGGCGGCGUGCCUAAUACAUGCAAGUCGAGCGCACAGACGAGGAGCUUGCUCCUCUGACGUUAGCGGCGGACGGGUGAGUAACACGUGGAUAACCUACCUAUAAGACUGGGAUAACUUCGGGAAACCGGAGCUAAUACCGGAUAAUAUAUUUAACCGCAUGGUUCAAUAGUGAAAGACGGUUUUGCUGUCACUUAUAGAUGGAUCCGCGCCGCAUUAGCUAGUUGGUAAGGUAACGGCUUACCAAGGCAACGAUGCGUAGCCGACCUGAGAGGGCGAUCGGCCAGACUGGAACUAAGACACCGGCCAGACGCCUACGGGAGGCAGCAGUAGGGAAUCUUCCGCAAUGGGCGAAAGCCUGACGGAGCAACGCCGCGUGAGUGAUGAAGGUCUUCGGAUCGUAAAACUCUGUUAUUAGGGAAGAACAAAUGUGUAAGUAACUAUGCACGUCUUGACGGUACCUAAUCAGAAAGCCACGGCUAACUACGUG